Molecule: ribosomal RNA, 443 nt
Filed under: uncultured bacterium
Lineage: Bacteria
Description: partial 16S ribosomal RNA
Rfam family: Bacterial small subunit ribosomal RNA
Source: RNAcentral
CCUACGGGAGGCAGCAGUGGGGAAUAUUGGGCAAUGGGCGCAAGCCUGACCCAGCAACGCCGCGUGAAGGAAGAAGGCUUUCGGGUUGUAAACUUCUUUUCUCAGGGACGAAGAAAGUGACGGUACCUGAGGAAUAAGCCACGGCUAACUACGUGCCAGCAACCGCGGCAAAACGUAGGUGGCAAGCGUUAUCCGGAUGUACUGGGUGUAAAGGGCGUGUAGGCGGGACUGCAAGUCAGAUGUGAAAACCACGGGCCCAAACUGUGGCCUGCAUUUGAAACUGUAGUUCUUGAGUACUGGAGAGGCAGACGGAAUUCCUGGUGUAGCGGUGAAAUGCGUAGAUAUUAGGAGGAACACCAGUGGCGAAGGCAGUCUGCUGGACAGCAACUGACGCUGAGGCGCGAAAGCGUGGGGAGCAAACAGGAUUAGAUACCCUUGUAGUC